CUUAAAUUGAAGAGUUUGAUCAUGGCUCAGAUUGAACGCUGGCGGCAGGCCUAACACAUGCAAGUCGGGCGGUAGCACGGGGGAGCUUGCUCCCUGGGUGACGAGCGGCGGACGGGUGAGUAAUGUCUGGGAAACUGCCUGAUGGAGGGGGAUAACUACUGGAAACGGUAGCUAAUACCGCAUAACCUCGCAAGAGCAAAGAGGGGGACCUUCGGGCCUCUCGCCAUCAGAUGUGCCCAGAUGGGAUUAGCUAGUAGGUGAGGUAAUGGCUCACCUAGGCGACGAUCCCUAGCUGGUCUGAGAGGAUGACCAGCCACACUGGAACUGAGACACGGUCCAGACUCCUACGGGAGGCAGCAGUGGGGAAUAUUGCACAAUGGGCGCAAGCCUGAUGCAGCCAUGCCGCGUGUGUGAAGAAGGCCUUCGGGUUGUAAAGCACUUUCAGCGGGGAGGAAGGCGGUAAGGUUAAUAACCUUAUCGAUUGACGUUACCCGCAGAAGAAGCACCGGCUAACUCCGUGCCAGCAGCCGCGGUAAUACGGAGGGUGCAAGCGUUAAUCGGAAUGACUGGGCGUAAAGCGCACGCAGGCGGUCUGUUAAGUUGGAUGUGAAAUCCCCGGGCUUAACCUGGGAACUGCAUUCAAAACUGACAGGCUAGAGUCUUGUAGAGGGGGGUAGAAUUCCAGGUGUAGCGGUGAAAUGCGUAGAGAUCUGGAGGAAUACCGGUGGCGAAGGCGGCCCCCUGGACAAAGACUGACGCUCAGGUGCGAAAGCGUGGGGAGCAAACAGGAUUAGAUACCCUGGUAGUCCACGCUGUAAACGAUGUCGAUUUGGAGGUUGUGCCCUUGAGGCGUGGCUUCCGGAGCUAACGCGUUAAAUCGACCGCCUGGGGAGUACGGCCGCAAGGUUAAAACUCAAAUGAAUUGACGGGGGCCCGCACAAGCGGUGGAGCAUGUGGUUUAAUUCGAUGCAACGCGAAGAACCUUACCUACUCUUGACAUCCAGAGAACUUAGCAGAGAUGCUUUGGUGCCUUCGGGAACUCUGAGACAGGUGCUGCAUGGCUGUCGUCAGCUCGUGUUGUGAAAUGUUGGGUUAAGUCCCGCAACGAGCGCAACCCUUAUCCUUUGUUGCCAGCGAUUCGGUCGGGAACUCAAAGGAGACUGCCGGUGAUAAACCGGAGGAAGGUGGGGAUGACGUCAAGUCAUCAUGGCCCUUACGAGUAGGGCUACACACGUGCUACAAUGGCGUAUACAAAGAGAAGCGACCUCGCGAGAGCAAGCGGACCUCAUAAAGUACGUCGUAGUCCGGAUUGGAGUCUGCAACUCGACUCCAUGAAGUCGGAAUCGCUAGUAAUCGUAGAUCAGAAUGCUACGGUGAAUACGUUCCCGGGCCUUGUACACACCGCCCGUCACACCAUGGGAGUGGGUUGCAAAAGAAGUAGGUAGCUUAACCUUCGGGAGGGCGCUUACCACUUUGUGAUUCAUGACUGGGGUGAAGUCGUAACAAGGUAACCGUAGGGGAACCUGCGGUUGGAUCACCUCCUUACCAAGAAG
RNAcentral lists this ribosomal RNA (1553 nucleotides) under Pectobacterium brasiliense. RNAcentral describes it as "bacterial SSU rRNA". It matches the Rfam family "Bacterial small subunit ribosomal RNA". Lineage: Bacteria; Pseudomonadati; Pseudomonadota; Gammaproteobacteria; Enterobacterales; Pectobacteriaceae. The record is from RNAcentral.